CCUGGCGGCGAGUGGCGAACGGGUGAGUAAUACAUCGGAACGUGCCCAGUAGUGGGGGAUAGCUCGCGAAAGCCGGAUUAAUACCGCAUACGACCUGAGGGCGAAAGCGGGGGAUCUUCGGACCUCGCGCUAUUGGAGCCGCCGAUGGCAGAUUAGCUAGUUGGUGGGGUAAAGGCCUACCAAGGCGACGAUCUGUAGCUGGUCUGAGAGGACGACCAGCCACACUGGGACUGAGACACGGCCCAGACCUCUACGGGAGGCAGCAGUGGGGAAUUUUGGACAAUGGGCGAAAGCCUGAUCCAGCAAUGCCGCGUGUGUGAUGAAGGCCUUCAGGUUGUAAAGCACUUUGGUGGGAACGAAAGGGACUGUGCCAAUACCACGGUUCGAUA
This 389-nucleotide ribosomal RNA is filed under the name Lautropia mirabilis. Its description in RNAcentral is "bacterial SSU rRNA". It matches the Rfam family "Bacterial small subunit ribosomal RNA", at positions 84 to 474 of the family's 1533-position model. Lineage: Bacteria; Pseudomonadati; Pseudomonadota; Betaproteobacteria; Burkholderiales; Burkholderiaceae. The record is from RNAcentral.